This 329-nucleotide unclassified non-coding RNA is filed under the name soil metagenome. RNAcentral describes it as "partial contains 5.8S ribosomal RNA, internal transcribed spacer 2, and large subunit ribosomal RNA". The stretch from base 1 to 120 matches the Rfam family "5.8S ribosomal RNA", at positions 35 to 154 of the family's 154-position model. The record is from RNAcentral.
GUUGAAGAACGUAGCGAAAUGCGAUAAGUAAUGUGAAUUGCAGAAUUCAGUGAAUCAUCGAAUCUUUGAACGCACAUUGCGCCCCCUGGUAUUCCGGGGGGCAUGCCUGUCCGAGCGUCAUUACAACCCUCAAGCUCAGCUUGGUAUUGGGCCCCGCCGACCCGGCGGGCCCUAAAGUCAGUGGCGGUGCCGUCCGGCUCCGAGCGUAGUAAUUCUUCUCGCUCUGGAGGUCCGGUCGUGUGCUCGCCAGCAACCCCCAAUUUUUUUCAGGUUGACCUCGGAUCAGGUAGGGAUACCCGCUGAACUUAAGCAUAUCAAUAAGCGGAGGA